CUUGGUCAUUUAGAGGAAGUAAAAGUCGUAACAAGGUCUCCGUAGGUGAACCUGCGGAGGGAUCAUUACACAAUAAAAUACGAAGGCCGUUCGCGGCUGGACUAUUUAUUACCCUUGUCUUUUGCGCACUUGUUGUUUCCUGGGCGGGUUCGCUCGCCACCAGGACCACAAUAUAAACCUUUUUUAUGCAGUUGCAAUCAGCGUCAGUAUAACAAAUGUAAAUCAUUUACAACUUUCAACAACGGAUCUCUUGGUUCUGGCAUCGAUGAAGAACGCAGCGAAAUGCGAUACGUAGUGUGAAUUGCAGAAUUCAGUGAAUCAUCGAAUCUUUGAACGCACAUUGCGCCCUUUGGUAUUCCAAAGGGCAUGCCUGUUCGAGCGUCAUUUGUACCCCCAAGCUUUGCUUGGUGUUGGGCGUUUUUGUCUUUGGCCCGCCAAAGACUCGCCUUAAAAUGAUUGGCAGCCGGCCUACUGGUUUCGCAGCGCAGCACAUUUUUGCGCUUGCAAUCAGCAAAAGAGGACGGCAAUCCAUCAAGACUCCUUCUCAC
This 548-nucleotide ribosomal RNA is filed under the name uncultured fungus. RNAcentral's name for it is "eukaryotic LSU rRNA". The stretch from base 231 to 384 matches the Rfam family "5.8S ribosomal RNA". The record is from RNAcentral. Lineage: Eukaryota; Fungi.